CACGUACCGUACGAACGUUAUUCGGAAUCACUGGGCUUAAAGAGUCCGUAGGCGGCUUUAAAGGUCAGGUGUGAAAUCCCACGGCUCAACCGUGGAACUGCGCUUGAAACCAUGAAGCUAGAGGGAGAUAGAGGUGAGCGGAACUGAUGGUGGAGCGGUGAAAUGCGUUGAUAUCAUCAGGAACACCCGUGGCGAAAGCGGCUCACUGGGUCUCUUCUGACGCUGAGGGACGAAAGCUAGGGGAGCGAACGGG
Molecule: ribosomal RNA, 253 nt
Filed under: uncultured bacterium
Lineage: Bacteria
Description: partial 16S ribosomal RNA
Rfam family: Bacterial small subunit ribosomal RNA
Source: RNAcentral